Long non-coding RNA from Raphanus sativus (radish), 1010 nucleotides. RefSeq lists it as uncharacterized. The transcript has 2 exons. The record is from RefSeq and is a predicted model, not a curated record. Lineage: Eukaryota; Viridiplantae; Streptophyta; Magnoliopsida; Brassicales; Brassicaceae.
AAGAAGUCCAAUUAAACAAAAAAACCACUUCCCUUUUUCUCAGAUUUUUUUCUCUUGCAAUCAUUAUUUUUCUUACUCUUUGAUUUUACUAGAGUAUCAUUCUUCAUAUUCUCUCCUUUUUCUCAGAUAGUGUUCGCUUUUUAGAGACAGUAAAUUAUAUGCGCCAAGCUUUUUCUCUACUAAACUUUGUCAUCUUCGUGUUUGGGUGGAGACCUUCCAGCGCCGGUGACGGUUUGUGCGGUGAUCUCUAACUCACCCAUUUAAUUUGGAAUCUGAGCAACAUGAUAGAACAGGUGCGGCUUAGUAUUUUUGGUGGUGUUUCUCUCGAUCUCUGUGUAUCUGUGGGAAUUCUGGUGUGGCCGUUCCCUAUGAGAGCUCCGACGCUCUAGUGAUUUGUCGAUUAGAUUACGAUGUUGGUUGUCACUGUAAGAAGACGACGAGAUUAAUGGCGAUGAGUGAAUCCGAUUCGGGUUGCAAGAUACCGAGCCAGUUCUCAGGGCAAGUGGAGGGGUUGCCGAGCCAGUUCUCAGGGCAAGUGGAGGGGUUGGUGAGGCUGCUCGUAGCGGAGCAUGAGAUGCGUUGGUUGGAGGCCUCGUUGCGGAUACCUUUGCGGAACUCGAGUAGAGAUCGGUCAUGCUCCGUUACGGUGUUGACACCAGGAGGAGGAGGGAGAUGAAAGAGAGAGGGAGAGUGUGAAGGAGAGUGUGAAAAGGACAACAAACUCAAACUAAUAAAGGACCCUCCUUGAAGUGUGAAACACGCGCCAAUGAUGCGUGUAAGCAAUUAUUCAAACAUGUAAACGUCGUACACUUGCGCAAGACUUGGAAGUUCGAAGUUCUACCCCACUCUGUUCCUCAAAAGUCUAUUUUUUGUUUCUUGUGUCAAUUUAAAAUGUUUUGCAAGUGUUACUAUCGUUCGGCAUUAAGUUUUCAGUGCUAAGGAUGGUUAUGAAAUUAUGAAGCACCUGCAAAAACUAUAUACAGUUCUAGUGCUGAAUUUUUAUUUCUUGU